AUGCAUGUCGAACGGAGUUUACUCGCUGAUGAAGCUUCGGCAGAAUCUUGAGUAAACUUAGUGGCGGACGGGUGAGUAACGCGUGGGCAACCUGCCUCAUACUGGGGGAUAACAGUUGGAAACGACUGUUAAUACCGCAUAAGCGCACAGAGUCGCAUGACUCAGUGUGAAAAACUCCGGUGGUAUGAGAUGGGCCCGCGUCAGAUUAGCCAGUUGGCGGGGUAACGGCCCACCAAAGCGACGAUCUGUAGCCGGACUGAGAGGUCGGACGGCCACAUUGGGACUGAGACACGGCCCAAACUCCUACGGGAGGCAGCAGUGGGGGAUAUUGCACAAUGGAGGAAACUCUGAUGCAGCGACGCCGCGUGAGUGAAGAAGUAUUUCGGUAUGUAAAGCUCUAUCAGCAGGGAAGAAAGGCUCGCAAGAGAGAUGACGGU
This 437-nucleotide ribosomal RNA is filed under the name uncultured Butyrivibrio sp. RNAcentral's name for it is "bacterial SSU rRNA". It matches the Rfam family "Bacterial small subunit ribosomal RNA", at positions 55 to 476 of the family's 1533-position model. Lineage: Bacteria; Bacillati; Bacillota; Clostridia; Lachnospirales; Lachnospiraceae. The record is from RNAcentral.